UGGGGAAUCUUGCACAAUGGGGGCAACCCUGAUGCAGCGACGCCGCGUGAGCGAUGAAGCCCUUCGGGGCGUAAAGCUCUUUCGACCGGAACGAUAAUGACGGUACCGGGAGAAGAAGCUGCGGCUAACUACGUGCCAGCAGCCGCGGUAAUACGUAGGCAGCAAGCGUUGUUCGGAGUUACUGGGCGUAAAGAGUGCGUAGGCGGUUUUCUAAGUUCGGUGUGAAAUCUCCCGGCUUAACUGGGAGGGUGCGCCGAAGACUGGGAAGCUGGAGUGUGGGAAAGGCCGGCGAAAUUCCUGGUGUUGCGGUGAAAUGCGUAGAUAUCAGGAGCAACACCGGCGGUGUAGACGGCUUGCUAGACCAUAACUGACGCUGAGGGACGAAAGCGUGGGUAGCAAACA
This 402-nucleotide ribosomal RNA is filed under the name uncultured bacterium. RNAcentral's name for it is "bacterial SSU rRNA". It matches the Rfam family "Bacterial small subunit ribosomal RNA", at positions 355 to 774 of the family's 1533-position model. The record is from RNAcentral.